AGUGAACGCUGGCGGUAGGCCUAACACAUGCAAGUCGAACGGCAGCACAGUAAGAGCUUGCUCUUACGGGUGGCGAGUGGCGGACGGGUGAGGAAUACAUCGGAAUCUACUUUUUCGUGGGGGAUAACGUAGGGAAACUUACGCUAAUACCGCAUACGACCUACGGGUGAAAGCAGGGGAUCUUCGGACCUUGCGCGAUUGAUUGAGCCGAUGUCGGAUUUGCUAGUUGGCGGGGUAAAGGCCCACCAUGGCGACGAUCCGUAGCUGGACUGAGAGGAUGAUCGGCCACACUGGAGCUGAGACACGGUCCAGACUCCUACGGGAGGCAGCAGUGGGGAAUAUGGGACAAUGGGCGGAAGCCUGAUCCAGCCAUACCGCGUGGGUGAAGAAGGCCUUCGGGUUGUAAAGCCCUUUUGUUGGGAAAGAAAAGCAGCAGGUUAAUACCCCGCUGUUCUGACGGUACCCAAAGAAUAAGCACCGGCUAACUUCGUG
RNAcentral lists this ribosomal RNA (492 nucleotides) under uncultured bacterium. Its description in RNAcentral is "partial 16S ribosomal RNA". It matches the Rfam family "Bacterial small subunit ribosomal RNA", at positions 29 to 507 of the family's 1533-position model. The record is from RNAcentral.